Non-coding RNA from Podarcis lilfordi (Lilford's wall lizard), 74 nucleotides. NCBI's taxonomy places the organism in Eukaryota, Metazoa, Chordata, Lepidosauria, Squamata, Lacertidae. The record is from the annotation of a GenBank genome assembly.
GCUGUAGUAGCUCAGUGGUAGAGCAUCUGCUUUGCAUGCAGAAUGUCCCAGUUAGAGCAUCUGCUUUGCAUGCA